This 81-nucleotide transfer RNA is filed under the name Hemiselmis virescens. It matches the Rfam family "tRNA", at positions 7 to 64 of the family's 71-position model. Rfam says of the family: Transfer RNA (tRNA) molecules are approximately 80 nucleotides in length. Their secondary structure includes four short double-helical elements and three loops (D, anti-codon, and T loops). Further hydrogen bonds mediate the characteristic L-shaped molecular structure. tRNAs have two regions of fundamental functional importance: the anti-codon, which is responsible for specific mRNA codon recognition, and the 3' end, to which the tRNAs corresponding amino acid is attached (by aminoacyl-tRNA synthetases). tRNAs cope with the degeneracy of the genetic code in two manners: having more than one tRNA (with a specific anti-codon) for a particular amino acid; and 'wobble' base-pairing, i.e. permitting non-standard base-pairing at the 3rd anti-codon position. Lineage: Eukaryota; Cryptophyceae; Cryptomonadales; Hemiselmidaceae. The record is from RNAcentral.
CUGUGGCAAAAUGGAUAAAGCGUCUGUCUCCUAAACUGUUUAACUAAGGUCAACAGAAGAUUGUGGGUUCGAAUCCCACCU